CACACAUUUAUUUAUUUACUUACUUAUUUAUUCAGGUGAAUUCAACAGAAGAUCAGCACAGUGACUUUUCCGUUCAAGUGUGUCUGAGGCCACCAACAAGGACGGUGGCUAUGCAGUUCAAAGGAAGGGGACGGACUAAAGGUGUGCAGGCUACUACAUCAAUGGUCACUGUUGGGACUCAGACUGAGGAUGACUGCUUUUGCUUUCACAACACCGACAACUCAACCUCUUGUGGCUCUGACUCAGAUGACAACAUGUCGACAGAUGAUCCCGACUACAAGCUGCCGUCCUCUGAUGAUUCAGCUGAAGAGAGUCCUGAACACAAUACUCCACCAGUGCCGCCACCUGAGGCGCCAGCAGAUUGGGCGUUGCUGUGAUGUCGGAAAGAUCGUUCUUCAGACAUCAGGACCAGGUGCUUUUCAAAGCUGUGAAGCGAGUUUGGGGCGAGCAGCAGUUUGCCAUGCUCUGUCUGCUACAGGCAGAAGGGGAACCCAUCGUGUGUGGUGGUGACGGGCGUGCCGACACCCCAGGGCAUUGCGCUAAGUACGGCACCUACUCAACAAUGGAGCUCCGGAAAACAGCUGUUAUUGACGUACAACUUGUACAGAGCAAUGAGGUU
Eleginops maclovinus (Patagonian blennie) is the source of this 619-nucleotide long non-coding RNA. RefSeq lists it as uncharacterized. The record is from RefSeq and is a predicted model, not a curated record. The transcript has 4 exons. NCBI's taxonomy places the organism in Eukaryota, Metazoa, Chordata, Actinopteri, Perciformes, Eleginopidae.